RNAcentral lists this ribosomal RNA (497 nucleotides) under uncultured bacterium. RNAcentral's name for it is "partial 16S ribosomal RNA". It matches the Rfam family "Bacterial small subunit ribosomal RNA", at positions 28 to 507 of the family's 1533-position model. The record is from RNAcentral.
GAUGAACGCUGGCGGCGUGCCUAAUACAUGCAAGUCGAGCGAACAGACGAGGAGCUUGCUCCUCUGACGUUAGCGGCGGACGGGUGAGUAACACGUGGAUAACCUACCUAUAAGACUGGUAUAACUUCGGGAAACCGGAGCUAAUACCGGAUAAUAUAUUGAACCGCAUGGUUCAAUAGUGAAAGACGGUUGUGGUGUCACGUAUAGAUGGAUCCGCGCCGCAUUAGCUAGUUGGUACGGUAACGGCUUAUCAAGGCGACGAUGCGUAGCCGACGUGAGAGGGGGAUCGGCCGCCCUGGAGCUGAGACACGGUCCAGACUCCUGCGAGAGGCAGCAGUAGGGAAUCUUCCGCAGUAGGCGAAAGCAUGACGGAGCGACGCCGCGUGAGUGAUGAAGGUCUUCGGAUCGUAAAACUCUGUUAUUAGGGGAGAACAAAUGUGUAAGUAACUAUGCACGGCUUGACGGUACCUAAUCAGAAAGCCACGGCUAACUACGUG